GUCGGGGGAAGUGGCGUGUGCUUCUUGUCCCAGUUACGCGGGAGACUGAGGUGGGAAGAUCACUUGAGCCCAGGAGUUCUGGGCUGUAGUGCGCUAUGCCAAUCAGGUGUCUGCACUAAGUUCAGCAUCAGUAUGGUGACCUCCUGAGAGCGGGGCACCACCAGGUUGCCUAAGGAGGGGUGAACUGGCCCAGAUUGGAAAUGGAGCAGGUCAAAACUCUCAUGCUGAUCAGUAGCGGGAUUGUGCCUGUGAAUAGUCACUGCACUCCAGCCUGGGCAAUAUAGUGAGACCCUUCUCUA
This is an unclassified non-coding RNA of Callithrix jacchus (white-tufted-ear marmoset), 299 nucleotides long. It matches the Rfam family "Metazoan signal recognition particle RNA". Rfam says of the family: The signal recognition particle (SRP) is a universally conserved ribonucleoprotein. It is involved in the co-translational targeting of proteins to membranes. The record is from Ensembl. NCBI's taxonomy places the organism in Eukaryota, Metazoa, Chordata, Mammalia, Primates, Cebidae.